RNAcentral lists this long non-coding RNA (632 nucleotides) under Androctonus crassicauda. Lineage: Eukaryota; Metazoa; Arthropoda; Arachnida; Scorpiones; Buthidae. The record is from RNAcentral.
AGAAAACCAUGUCUUUUUCCGUGAUACUAUCCCAAAACUUUUGUAACAAGUUCCUGUAGUAUGCAUCUGUUAUUGUCAACUCUUUUUCUUUUUAUCUGUGUUUUGGGUCAUUAAUAUGACAUCUUUACUGUUCCAAACACAGAUAAUAUGACUCUGCAGACUGACACAAGAGAAAAUCAUUCAAGCAGGAUGAUCUUUUGGGUAAUCUAUAAGUUGGUGCAACCAUAUAUGAAUUCCAAUUUCCAUUGUUUCACAAUUUCAUAUGAUGGAUAUUUCUUGCCAUACACACCUGACAUCUCUUCUUGGAUUGCUUAUGCAAUUUUCAAACUUGAAGGAACCAUAUUGCAAUUCAAUAUUCAAAUUUGUUCAGUAUGACGCCAUCUACUAUCCUGCUUCUAACUCCAGUAAAUAGAACCUAUGAAAACAAAAAAGCAUGUAUGUUAGUAUAAUAAGGCAGUUACCUAUCAUUGUUUACAAUUACAGAUCUAAAGUACACAUACAACAUGGCGAGAGUAAGAAUUUUUUGGCUUCCCCUCCUAAUGACUACAAACAGAUCUCAACAGCCUCCAAAACAAAAAUAACACAUAUUAUUGAUAAAACAUGGUCAUCAUUUAAAUCAUCCAUUGAGAGAG